This 589-nucleotide long non-coding RNA is filed under the name Glycine max (soybean). RNAcentral's name for it is "long non-coding RNA (GMAX_LNC002431)". The record is from RNAcentral. Lineage: Eukaryota; Viridiplantae; Streptophyta; Magnoliopsida; Fabales; Fabaceae.
UGCAUGUUAGGUAAAAACUAAUCUCAUAUAUAUGCAUGCAGUGACACUAAUUAUGUAAUAAUUUAUCUGAAGGUGAACGAUCAAACACAACUAGGUGCUGAAAAGUGAUAUAUACAGAAGUAAAAAAGAGCUUUUUAUGGGAAAGAUAAAGGGAGGAGAAAGAGGUCUUCCCCAGCUGGAAUGGGAACACACACGGUUAGAGAUGCCACGUUGGUUGCGUGUCCUCCCUUACUUAGGAAAUUCAUGUUUUGAACAUUGCAGCUCGUAAAUUGCAUGAACAAAAUUGAAGACUGAAAAUUUUCAUAUUGGAAGGGAAAUGUAAUACAAAAGCAUUUGUUAAACAUGUAUGGUGAUUUCUUACUAAGAUCUUGUGAGCCAACAAGUUCUUCCCUGAAAAAACUGAAACAAAUGGACCCUGUUGCUGAGUGGUUGUUGAAAAAUUAAGCAUCAUCAACGUUUCAUCUUUUCCAAAUGGAAAUUUAAUUCCAAAACGAUAAUAGUUGCAACUGACGUGCAACUUCACAUCUAUUUACGAUGUCGACUAAUAUUCAGAGUCACAUUAAUUUCUUGAAAAGAAAAGGGCAAGUGG